UGCGUGCUGUUCCAUUGUGAGUGAACAUUGGAGUAAGAAUCCAUUGCAGUCCUCCUCCCUGCCAGAGAAGGGCGCUGGUCACGAUAUUGAGCUUGCCAUAUAUACCAGCGUGGGAGUCGAUUGGGCGGAAGCGCUAUUGUCCGACUGCACUGAAUCCAUCUUGUAUUUGUUCUGGUCAAGCCUUCUGUCAAGGAUAUACUCAGGACUCAGAGAAUCCCCACUGAAGAUAUACGUGCUCUGAGUGUCACAUGGAGUGGAAUAUCCAGGCAGAUGCCGAAGACAGUAACUACAUCAGUAGAAUCACAGGAGAUUCCAGCGACCAUAGAUUCACAGGUACAGAGCUGAUGAUCAACGGUCCUGAGGGCAGCAGAGCAAAGACACAGGUUAGUGUAACACCAAAAGGUAAGUAUAUGUUACGUCUGGCAAGGAGAGCUUCAGGAGACAAGAGUGAAGAGUCUGUUCCUGU
Long non-coding RNA from Carassius gibelio (silver crucian carp), 466 nucleotides. RefSeq lists it as uncharacterized. The record is from RefSeq and is a predicted model, not a curated record. Lineage: Eukaryota; Metazoa; Chordata; Actinopteri; Cypriniformes; Cyprinidae. The transcript is spliced from 3 exons.